AGAGAGAGACAUGCGCGCAUAUCAAUAAGCGGAGGAAAAGAAACUAACUAGGAUUCCCUUAGUAACGGCGAGUGAAGCGGGAAGAGCUCAAAUUUGAAAUCUUCAAGGUUCUACCUUGACGAAUUGCAGUUUAUAGAAGUGUUUUCUGUUAGUGGAGUGGCAAAAGUUCUUUGGAAUAGGACAUCAUAGAGGGUGAGAAUCCCGUAUUUGGUCAUUCCUCCUAGCGUUGUGAUACACUUUCAAAGAGUCGGAUUGUUUGGGAAUGCAGUCCAAAAUGGGUGGUAAAUUUCAUCUAAAGCUAAAUAUUGGCGAGAGACCGAUAGCGAACAAGUACCGUGAGGGAAAGAUGAAAAGAACUUUGAAAAGAGAGUUAAACAGUACGUGAAAUUGUCAAAAGGGAAGCGUUUGACACCAGUGUUGUUUUUCCGAAAAUCAAUUACGAAUGUUUUGUUUUUAAGAAGUUAUGACUUCAUCGGCUUGCUUCUUUCUUUACGAAACUUUCUUAAUGCACUUUUCGGUUAACAAGUCAACAUCAAUUUCUUUUGUUGUAAAAGGGUAUGAGGAAGGUGGCUUUCUUUUCGGAGAAAGUGUUUAUAGCCUUGUGCCUCUGCAAUCGGAGAGAUUGAGGUCUGCAGCGUAGAUCCUUCGGGGUUAGAUACAUUUGUGCUAAGUUAUAGCCUUUCAUAGACAACUUGUUGAUUAUGAUUAGUCUUGUAGCUUACUCGCUUAUGCUAUUUUACCUACGCUUAGGAUGUUGACAGCAGUAUAGACUGU
This 774-nucleotide ribosomal RNA is filed under the name uncultured Neocallimastigales. RNAcentral describes it as "partial large subunit ribosomal RNA". It matches the Rfam family "Eukaryotic large subunit ribosomal RNA", at positions 23 to 640 of the family's 3401-position model. The record is from RNAcentral. Lineage: Eukaryota; Fungi; Neocallimastigomycota; Neocallimastigomycetes; Neocallimastigales.